This 134-nucleotide ribosomal RNA is filed under the name uncultured bacterium. Its description in RNAcentral is "partial 16S ribosomal RNA". The record is from RNAcentral.
ACGUAGGGAAGGCAGCGGAGUGUAAUCCAAUCAAUGGGGCCAAGCGUGAUGUCGCCAUGCCGGGAAGUGAUAUGGCGUUAGUAAAGUAAUGUGUUAGAGAAGAGAAAAUGACGGUACUCAGAGAGCCCGUGGCC